GUGCCAGCAGCCGCGGUAAUACGUAGGUGGCGAGCGUUAUUCGGAAUUAUUGGGCCUAGAGAGUUCGUAGGGGGUAAUGUAAGUCCGGUGUGAAAUCUCGAGGCUCAACCUCGAAACUGCAUUGGAAACUGCAUUACUUGAGUGUCAGAGAGGAAAGCGGAAUUCCUGGUGUAGCGGUGGAAUGCGUAGAUAUCAGGAAGAACACCGACGGCGAAGGCAGCUUUCUGGCUGGCGACUGACCCUGAUGAACGAAAGCUAGGGUAGCGAACAGGAUUAGAUACCCUGGUAGUCCUAGCUGUAAACGUUGUGCACUGGAUGUGGGCGGAUUUGGUCCCGUCUGUGUCUGAGCGAAGGCGUUAAGUGCACCGCCUGGGGACUACGGCCGCAAGGCUAAAACUCAAAGGAAUUGACGGGGGCCCGCACAAGCGGUGGAGCAUGUGGCUCAAUUCGAGGCAACGCGAAGAACCUUACCUGGGUUUGACAUAUACCUGACCGCCGGUGAGAGCCGGUUUCUCUUUGAGCAGGUAUACAGGUGCUGCAUGGCUGUCGACAGCUCGUGCUGUGAAGUGUUCGGUUAAGUCCGGCAACGAGCGCAACCCACGCUGUUAGUUACCAUCAGGUAAUGCUGGGGACUCUAACAGGACUGCCCGUGCUAAGCGGGAGGAAGGCGUGGACGACGUCAAGUCCGCAUGGCCCUUACGCCCAGGGCUGCACACGUGCUACAAUGGCCGGUACAGAGGGUCGCCACUCUGCGAAGAGGAGCUAAUCCCGAAAACCGGCCUCAGUUCGGAUUGGAGUCUGCAACCUGACUCCAUGAAGUAGGAAUCGCU
RNAcentral lists this ribosomal RNA (830 nucleotides) under uncultured organism. RNAcentral describes it as "bacterial SSU rRNA". It matches the Rfam family "Bacterial small subunit ribosomal RNA", at positions 505 to 1336 of the family's 1533-position model. The record is from RNAcentral.